RNAcentral lists this transfer RNA (74 nucleotides) under Methanoregula sp. RNAcentral describes it as "tRNA-Phe". It matches the Rfam family "tRNA". Rfam says of the family: Transfer RNA (tRNA) molecules are approximately 80 nucleotides in length. Lineage: Archaea; Methanobacteriati; Methanobacteriota; Methanomicrobia; Methanomicrobiales; Methanoregulaceae. The record is from RNAcentral.
GCCCUAGUAGCUCAGUUUGGGAGAGCGCUAGACUGAAGAUCUAGUUGUCCCCGGUUCAAAUCCGGGCUGGGGCA